This 414-nucleotide ribosomal RNA is filed under the name uncultured bacterium. Its description in RNAcentral is "bacterial SSU rRNA". It matches the Rfam family "Bacterial small subunit ribosomal RNA", at positions 505 to 916 of the family's 1533-position model. The record is from RNAcentral.
GUGCCAGCCGCCGCGGUAAUACGUAGGGUGCAAGCGUUAUCCGGAAUUAUUGGGCGUAAAGAGCUCGUAGGCGGUUUGUCACGUCUGCUGUGAAAACUGGAGGCUCAACCUCCAGCCUGCAGUGGGUACGGGCAGACUAGAGUGCGGUAGGGGAGAUUGGAAUUCCUGGUGUAGCGGUGGAAUGCGCAGAUAUCAGGAGGAACACCGAUGGCGAAGGCAGAUCUCUGGGCCGUAACUGACGCUGAGGAGCGAAAGCAUGGGGAGCGAACAGGAUUAGAUACCCUGGUAGUCCAUGCCGUAAACGUUGGGAACUAGAUGUAGGGACCAUUCCACGGUUUCUGUGUCGCAGCUAACGCAUUAAGUUCCCCGCCUGGGGAGUACGGCCGCAAGGCUAAAACUCAAAGGAAUUGACGG